Molecule: ribosomal RNA, 484 nt
Filed under: uncultured bacterium
Lineage: Bacteria
Description: partial 16S ribosomal RNA
Rfam family: Bacterial small subunit ribosomal RNA
Source: RNAcentral
AUUGAACGCUGGCGGCAGGCCUAACACAUGCAAGUCGAGCGGAUGAAGGGAGCUUGCUCCUGGAUUCAGCGGCGGACGGGUGAGUAAUGCCUAGGAAUCUGCCUGGUAGUGGGGGAUAACGUCCGGAAACGGGCGCUAAUACCGCAUACGCCCUGAGGGAGAAAGUGGGGGAUCUUCGGACCUCACGCUCUCAGAUGAGCCUAGGUCGGAUUAGCUAGUUGGUGGGGUAAAGGCCUACCAAGGCGACGAUCCGUAACUGGUCUGAGAGGAUGAUCAGUCACACUGGAACUGAGACACGGUCCAGACUCCUACGGGAGGCAGCAGUGGGGAAUAUUGGACAAUGGGCGAAAGCCUGAUCCAGCCAUGCCGCGUGUGUGAAGAAGGUCUUCGGAUUGUAAAGCACUUUAAGUUGGGAGGAAGGGCAGUAAGUUAAUACCUUGCUGUUUUGACGGUACCAACAGAAUAAGCACCGGCUAACUUCGUG